This 482-nucleotide ribosomal RNA is filed under the name uncultured bacterium. RNAcentral's name for it is "partial 16S ribosomal RNA". It matches the Rfam family "Bacterial small subunit ribosomal RNA", at positions 30 to 507 of the family's 1533-position model. The record is from RNAcentral.
AUUGAACGCUGGCGGCAUGCCUUACACAUGCAAGUCGAACGGUAACAGGUCUUCGGAUGCUGACGAGUGGCGAACGGGUGAGUAAUACAUCGGAACGUGCCCAGACGUGGGGGAUAACGAGGCGAAAGCUUUGCUAAUACCGCAUACGAUCUAAGGAUGAAAGCAGGGGACCGCAAGGCCUUGCGCGUUUGGAGCGGCCGAUGGCAGAUUAGGUAGUUGGUGGGAUAAAAGCUUACCAAGCCGACGAUCUGUAGCUGGUCUGAGAGGACGACCAGCCACACUGGGACUGAGACACGGCCCAGACUCCUACGGGAGGCAGCAGUGGGGAAUUUUGGACAAUGGGCGAAAGCCUGAUCCAGCAAUGCCGCGUGCAGGAUGAAGGCCUUCGGGUUGUAAACUGCUUUUGUACGGAACGAAAAGGCUCUGGCUAAUACCUGGGGCACAUGACGGUACCGUAAGAAUAAGCACUGGCUAACUACGUG